GCCCCCGUAGCUCAAUGGACAGAGCACCUGACUUCGGAUCAGGCGGUUGCGCGUUCGAAUCGCGCCGGGGGCGCCU
This 76-nucleotide transfer RNA is filed under the name Chloroflexi bacterium RBG_16_54_18. RNAcentral describes it as "tRNA-Arg". It matches the Rfam family "tRNA". From Rfam's summary of the family: Transfer RNA (tRNA) molecules are approximately 80 nucleotides in length. Lineage: Bacteria; Bacillati; Chloroflexota. The record is from RNAcentral.